RNAcentral lists this ribosomal RNA (307 nucleotides) under uncultured eukaryote. Its description in RNAcentral is "partial 18S ribosomal RNA". It matches the Rfam family "Eukaryotic small subunit ribosomal RNA", at positions 1470 to 1796 of the family's 1831-position model. The record is from RNAcentral.
CCCUUAGACGUUCUGGGCCGCACGCGCGCUACACUGACGAAGGCAACGAGCUUUCCUUUACCGAAAGGUACGGGUAAUCUUUUGAAACUUCGUCGUGCUGGGGAUAGAUCCUUGCAAUUUUUGAUCUUAAACGAGGAAUGCCUAGUAAGCGCAAGUCAUCAACUUGCGUUGAUUACGUCCCUGCCCUUUGUACACACCGCCCGUCGCUACUACCGAUUGAAUGGUUUAGUGAGGCCUUCGGACCCGCGACUCGUUUGUGGAGAAGUUGGACAAACUCAGUCAUUUAGAGGAAGUAAAAGUCGUAACA